Molecule: long non-coding RNA, 415 nt
Organism: Pezoporus occidentalis (night parrot)
Lineage: Eukaryota; Metazoa; Chordata; Aves; Psittaciformes; Psittacidae
Exons: 3
Source: RefSeq, a predicted model, not a curated record
GGAGGAUGCAAGCAACUACGGCCAGUCAACUCAGUCCCAAGGGAGGUUAUGGAGCAAAUCCACCUGGAAGAUAUUUUGAAGCACAUGGAAGACAAGAAGGAAAAACUACCAGACAAAAUCACUGCUGAGCUGGACCACAGAGAAGAAAGUCUCUAGGGAAGCAAGAGCACAAGCAGAAUUGGAGCUAUCUGGGAACCUUUUCAUUCAGUUCACGAGAGGGAGAACUGGUUGCAUAACUGUGCUGACCUAAAAAUGCUUUCCAGAUUCUUCAGUUAAAGCACAGGAAGAAGCAGAAAGCUUCAAGUUACCCAGCCUGGUACCUGGAUGCUGACAAAAAAAAAAACAAAACAGUGCAUCAAUGAUCACAGGCAGAAAGGCAGCUUUGCUUUGCAGUCUGAAUGUAUAAAGGAAAAAA